GACGAACGCUGGCGGCGUGCUUAACACAUGCAAGUCGAACGGAAAGGCCAUGCUUUUGUGGGGUGCUCGAGUGGGGAAAGGGUGAGUAACACGUGAGUAACCUGCCCUUGACUUUGGGAUAACUUCAGGAAACUGGGGCUAAUACCGGAUAGGAGCUCCUGCUGCAUGGUGGGGGUUGGAAAGUUUCGGCGGUUGGGGAUGGACUCGCGGCUUAUCAGCUUGCUGGUGGGGUAGUUGCUUACCAAGGCUUGGACGGGUCGCCGGCUCGAGAGUGUGACCGGCGACAUUGCGACUGAGAUACGGCCCAGACUCCUACGGGAGGCAGCAGGCGGAAAUAUUGCACAAUGGGCGGAAGCCUGAUGCAGCAACGCUGCGUUCGGGAUGACGGCCUUCGGGUUAUAAACCGCUGUCGCCUGUGACGAAGCGUGAGUGACGGUAAUGGGUAAAGAAGCACCGGCUAACUACGUG
Molecule: ribosomal RNA, 468 nt
Filed under: uncultured bacterium
Lineage: Bacteria
Description: partial 16S ribosomal RNA
Rfam family: Bacterial small subunit ribosomal RNA
Source: RNAcentral